This 497-nucleotide ribosomal RNA is filed under the name uncultured bacterium. RNAcentral describes it as "partial 16S ribosomal RNA". It matches the Rfam family "Bacterial small subunit ribosomal RNA", at positions 28 to 507 of the family's 1533-position model. The record is from RNAcentral.
GAUGAACGCUGGCGGCGUGCCUAAUACAUGCAAGUCGAGCGAACGGACGAGAAGCUUGCUCCUCUGAUGUUAGCGGCGGACGGGUGAGUAACACGUGGAUAACCUACCUAUAAGACUGGGAUAACUUCGGGAAACCGGAGCUAAUACCGGAUAAUAUUUUGAACCGCAUGGUUCAAAAGUGAAAGACGGUCUUGCUGUCACUUAUAGAUGGAUCCGCGCUGCAUUAGCUAGUUGGUAAGGUAACGGCUUACCAAGGCAACGAUGCAUAGCCGACCUGAGAGGGUGAUCGGCCACACUGGAACUGAGACACGGUCCAGACUCCUACGGGAGGCAGCAGUAGGGAAUCUUCCGCAAUGGGCGAAAGCCUGACGGAGCAACGCCGCGUGAGUGAUGAAGGUCUUCGGAUCGUAAAACUCUGUUAUUAGGGAAGAACAAAUGUGUAAGUAACUGUGCACAUCCUGACGGUACCUAAUCAGAAAGCCACGGCUAACUACGUG